GAUCAUGGCUCAGAUUGAACGCUGGCGGCAGGCCUAACACAUGCAAGUCGAACGGUAACAGAAAGAAGCUUGCUUCUUUGCUGACGAGUGGCGGACGGGUGAGUAAUGUCUGGGAAACUGCCUGAUGGAGGGGGGAUAACUACUGGAAACGGUAGCUAAUACCGCAUAACGUCGCAAGACCAAAGAGGGGGGACCUUCGGGCCUCUUGCCAUCGGAUGUGCCCAGAUGGGAUUAGCUUGUUGGG
Molecule: ribosomal RNA, 244 nt
Filed under: uncultured bacterium
Lineage: Bacteria
Description: partial 16S ribosomal RNA
Rfam family: Bacterial small subunit ribosomal RNA
Source: RNAcentral